Molecule: non-coding RNA, 24 nt
Filed under: Arabidopsis thaliana (thale cress)
Lineage: Eukaryota; Viridiplantae; Streptophyta; Magnoliopsida; Brassicales; Brassicaceae
Source: RNAcentral
UGGGCUUGCCUAGCGUGGGCUACC